UUUCCGUAGGUGAACCUGCGGAAGGAUCAUUACAGUAGUCGCCUGGGUUGCCGCAAGGCCUCCCGGGUAACCUACCACCCUUUGUUUAUUACACUUUGUUGCUUUGGCAGGCCUGCCCUCGGGCUGCUGGCUCCGGCCGGCGAGCGCUUGCCAGAGGACCUAAACUCUGUUUGUCUAUACUGUCUGAGUACUAUAUAAUAGUUAAACUUUCAACAACGGAUCUCUUGGUUCUG
RNAcentral lists this unclassified non-coding RNA (233 nucleotides) under plant metagenome. Its description in RNAcentral is "partial contains small subunit ribosomal RNA, internal transcribed spacer 1, and 5.8S ribosomal RNA". The record is from RNAcentral.